This is a non-coding RNA of Triticum aestivum (bread wheat), 126 nucleotides long. Lineage: Eukaryota; Viridiplantae; Streptophyta; Magnoliopsida; Poales; Poaceae. The record is from Rfam.
CUGAUACUCCCUCCGUCUGAAAAAACUUGUCUCAAGUUUGUCCCUUAAAUGAAUGUAUUUAGCACUAACUUGAUGCUAGAUACAUUCAUUUGAGGGACAAGCUUUUUCAAACGGAGGGAGUAUCUG